RNAcentral lists this ribosomal RNA (275 nucleotides) under Burkholderia sp. LP7. Its description in RNAcentral is "partial 16S ribosomal RNA". It matches the Rfam family "Bacterial small subunit ribosomal RNA", at positions 991 to 1270 of the family's 1533-position model. Lineage: Bacteria; Pseudomonadati; Pseudomonadota; Betaproteobacteria; Burkholderiales; Burkholderiaceae. The record is from RNAcentral.
CGGAAUCUGCAUAAGAGGUGGGAGUGCUCUAAAGAGAACCGGCGCACAGGUGGUGCGUGGGUGUCGACAUCACGUGGCGUGAGAUGGUGGGUUAACUCCCGCCACGAGCGCCCCCCUUGUUCUUAUUUGCUACUUAAGAUCACUCUAAUGAGACUGCCGGUGACAAACCAGAGGAAGGUGGGGAUGACGACAUGUCAUCAUGGCCCUUAUGGGUAGGGCUUCACACCUCAUACAAUGGUCGGAACAAAAGGUUGCCAAUCCACGAGGGGGAGCUA